This is a long non-coding RNA of Thalassophryne amazonica, 131 nucleotides long. RefSeq lists it as uncharacterized. The transcript has 3 exons. NCBI's taxonomy places the organism in Eukaryota, Metazoa, Chordata, Actinopteri, Batrachoidiformes, Batrachoididae. The record is from RefSeq and is a predicted model, not a curated record.
UUUUUAAGGGAAACUGGUUCACAUGGUGUGUUUGAUUACUGAUUGGUUAAAGAAACAGCAAACCAUAGUCAGAAUUAGUAUAUCUUGUCACAUGUUAGCGGUUAGCAUGUGUGGUUAUGCUAAUCUCAGUG